This 393-nucleotide ribosomal RNA is filed under the name Streptococcus sanguinis. RNAcentral's name for it is "bacterial SSU rRNA". It matches the Rfam family "Bacterial small subunit ribosomal RNA", at positions 28 to 411 of the family's 1533-position model. The record is from RNAcentral. Lineage: Bacteria; Bacillati; Bacillota; Bacilli; Lactobacillales; Streptococcaceae.
GACGAACGCUGGCGGCGUGCCUAAUACAUGCAAGUAGAACGCUGAAGAGAAGAGCUUGCUCUUCUUGGAUGAGUUGCGAACGGGUGAGUAACGCGUAGGUAACCUGCCUGGUAGCGGGGGAUAACUAUUGGAAACGAUAGCUAAUACCGCAUAAAAUUGAUUAUUGCAUGAUAAUUAAUUGAAAGAUGCAAUUGCAUUACUACCAGAUGGACCUGCGUUGUAUUAGCUAGUUGGUGAGGUAACGGCUCACCAAGGCGACGAUACAUAGCCGACCUGAGAGGGUGAUCGGCCACACUGGGACUGAGACACGGCCCAGACUCCUACGGGAGGCAGCAGUAGGGAAUCUUCGGCAAUGGGGGGAACCCUGACCGAGCAACGCCGCGUGAGUGAAGA